Molecule: long non-coding RNA, 580 nt
Filed under: Homo sapiens (human)
Lineage: Eukaryota; Metazoa; Chordata; Mammalia; Primates; Hominidae
Description: HSALNT0162590
Source: RNAcentral
GCAGGCGCACACUCCCUCCCCGCCCUUGCAGUGUCCUUUAGUCCUUCGUGAAUAAAUCGAAAUUAAAUGAAGCAAAUGCUUUUUUGAAGGCAAAUUUGGUGCCAAGGACCAUCCUAAGUGAUUCAGAUGGCCUCACAAGGCAGAAGCAACUCAAGUGUUCAACAAAUAAAUGGAUAAGCAAAAUGUGGUAUGACCAUGCCAUGGAAUAUUAUUCUGGCAGAAACAAGAAUGAAGUACUGAUACAUGCUACAACAUGAAUGAACCUUGACAACAUGCUGAGUGAAAUAAGCCAGACACGAAAAGACAAACACAGUGUGAUUGUAUUUAUGUGAAAUAUCUAGAGUAGGCAAAUUCAUAGAGACAGAAAGUAGACUUGAGAUUACCACAGGUUUGGGGGACAGGGAAUCUGAGUUAUUGUUUAAUGGAUAUAGAGUUUCAGAUUGGAGUCAUUAAAAAGAUUUGGAAAUAGUGUUUAUGGUUGCAUAGUACUGUGAAUGUACUUAAUGCCGCUGAAUUGUAUGUUUUAAAAUGGUUACACUGGCACAUUUUAUGUAGUAUACAUUUUACCACAAUAAAAAAA